This 253-nucleotide ribosomal RNA is filed under the name uncultured bacterium. RNAcentral describes it as "partial 16S ribosomal RNA". It matches the Rfam family "Bacterial small subunit ribosomal RNA", at positions 524 to 776 of the family's 1533-position model. The record is from RNAcentral.
UACAGAGGGUGCAAACGUUGUUCGGAAUUACUGGGCGUAAAGCGCGUGUAGGCGGCCUAGUGUGUCGGGCGUGAAAUCCCACGGCUCAACCGUGGAAGUGCACUCGAAACUGCAAGGCUGGAGUACUGGAGAGGAUGGUAGAAUGCUCGGUGUAGAGGUGAAAUUCGUAGAUAUCGAGCGGAAUACCGGUGGCGAAGGCGGCCAUCUGGACAGUAACUGACGCUGAGACGCGAAAGCGUGGGGAGCAAACAGG